Thalassophryne amazonica is the source of this 777-nucleotide long non-coding RNA. RefSeq lists it as uncharacterized. NCBI's taxonomy places the organism in Eukaryota, Metazoa, Chordata, Actinopteri, Batrachoidiformes, Batrachoididae. The record is from RefSeq and is a predicted model, not a curated record. The transcript is spliced from 4 exons.
UUUAUUGUCAUUUCAGUGGUAUUGUCUUCACCACUUGUCUUUUGUUCUUGUCUGUCUUUGUGUUGUUUUGGUGGUCGGCCCUUCCUGAUAGAAGUUGUCAAUUGGCUUUGAGUAAGAUGGUGUAGGCUGAUCGUGAGGGGCGGAUGGGGGUCACACACGCACACCACAUUCACUCAUAAAUUACAUACCUUCUGUGUGGCAUUUACAUUACUAUAUAUGCAGACAGGGGGAAAAAAAAGGUUUUUUUAAAGUGUGAUUUUGUGUUAAAUGAAAGCUACGAUACUAAGUGAUGCCCACUUCCAAAAAUGGACCCAAUCUUUUUUAAAAAAAGAGAAACUGGACAAACAAUAUCUUCAAAUAGUAACAUUUCAGAAAUCUUAAAUGUAAAGAAUAAUGCAAAAUUUUCAUAAGUAAGACAUACAAGUUAUAUUAAACAUCAAUAUGACCAAGUCUAUUUUUAAUUACCACAAUGGUAAUAAUCACAAACAACCUUCACAAACAAACUGACCGAUCCAGAUCGGUCAGUUUUUUAUGCAUCAUUCGUCAUUGGUAAAAAAAAAAAUCUCGAAUAAUCCCGAAUAGUGCAGAACGCGUCCCCACGGUGAAUACAGCUUUUGAUUUGAUCCCACAAUGCACCACGCAGGUGUACACAGGAAAAUUCAAACCGGAUCAAAUAAACAUAGCGUCAGUCCAGUCCAGUCGAUGGAAAACAGUUAUGCAUGGAAAAUUGGGCCUUUAUUUCAGCAAGAAACCGUGAGUGGUUUAUAAAUAGUUUUC